AUACGGAAGGUGCAAGCGUUAAUCGGAAUCACUGGGCGUAAAGCGCUCGUAGGUGGCUUUGUAAGUCAGGUGUGAAAGCCCACGGCUCAACCUCGGAACUGCCUUUGAUACUGGGUGUCUAGAGUGUGGAAGAGGUAAGUGGAAUUCCGAGUGUAGAGGUGAAAUUCGUAGAUAUUCGGAGGAACACCAGUGGCGAAGGCGGCUUACUGGUCCAUUACUGACGCUGAGGUGCGAAAGCGUGGGGAGC
This 247-nucleotide ribosomal RNA is filed under the name uncultured bacterium. RNAcentral describes it as "partial 16S ribosomal RNA". It matches the Rfam family "Bacterial small subunit ribosomal RNA", at positions 523 to 769 of the family's 1533-position model. The record is from RNAcentral.